ACGGCCAAGCGAGGACGCGCCUCUGCUGGCGUCCUGGGCCAAUGGCGCACGGCGCAGCGUGGUCGCAGUGCGCGCGCCUGACCAAUGGCGCGCGGGCCCCCCUCCCCGGCUCACAUGACGCCUUUUUCUAUACGUUCUCCCUCCUCUCGGCUCUCAAACGCGGCGAGCCCGGGCAUCGAUGCAGACCUGACACCGCGGCCACCAAGCAACCGGACGUCCAAGCUUUCUCCCCCCGGUGUGACAACGCUAUGUGCUUUUCUUUACUUUAACCAAAAAAAAAGAAAAAAAAAAAAAAGAAAGAAAAGCCCCACGAAGAUGCGCACGAUGACUCUCACACGCCCGAGGAAGGACGCACUUUUUCCGCCAGCAGACGACCGGAGAGACGCCAAAAAAAAAAAAAAAAACGAAAAAAAAAAAAAAACGAAAAAAAAAACGCCCAUAAGUUGCAGAAAUGAACCGUCAAGAUUGGGGCUGCCAUAAGAGGAAGAAAACCUCCAACCUUCAGGACGAGGGGAGGGAGAGGAAGGGAAGCCCCGGAGCAGAACGCGCCAAGAAGAAAAAAAAAGAAAAAAGACAAGAGUGAUAAAAGAGCGGUCCAGACGUGAUGGAGGCGCACUCACACAACGAUAUCUUGAGUCUGUCUGUGGUCUACCGCCAGGAUACUCCCCCCUCCGCCCCUCCUAAGCAUCCCUGCAUUUUCCACCGCACGCACGCCACACACACACAUAUACUGGUUAUUAUUUAGAAUGGGGACCACAUUUUUGAUCAUGACUUGUGGGGACCACCCUACUACAGGUUGUGGAGGCAUAAAAAAUACGUAAAAUGGCCACUGCCCAGUUAGCUCAUACACGUCUUUAAAUCUCUGGAUUGAAAAAGUAAUGUGCUGAUCAUUCUUACUGUGGAACCUGGGGAAAAAUAGUUAAUAUGGUUCAUGGGGACCGAAUUUAAAUUAUUUUGCAUAAUUCACACAAAUUUGUACGUGACUACUGAGGACCAUUUAAAAAAAAAAAUAAAGUUCAAAUUAGUUUUACUUUUUAGUUUUCAGUAAACAUGUUUUAUGGGCCAAAGCACUAAGGCAUCUUCAGAAUGGAUCUGACUAUCGUUUAAAAAGGUUUCCCUUUUUUUGUCCCCAUACUGUCAGAGGUCCCCUAAAGGUGACUGUGUAAACAGAGUGAUGUCCCCAUUAAGUAAGCAUUGUCAGAACACACACACACACACACAUACAUGGGUGGCAUAGCUCGGUUGGUAGAGUGGCCGUGCCAGCAACUUGAGGGUUGCAGGUUCGAUUCCCGCUUCCGCCAUCCUAGUCACUGCCGUUGUGUCCUUGGGCAAGAAACUUUACCCACUUGCUCCUAGUGCCACCCACACUGGUUUAAAUGUAACUUAGAUAUUGGGUUUCGCUAUGUAAAGCGCUUUGAGUCACUAGAGAAAAGCGCUAUAUAAAUAUAAUUCACUUCACUUCACUUCACACACUUGCCUUUAACAGUACAGAGCCAUAGAGUAGACGGGUAAAAGGGUUGUGAAUGUGAGAAAACAUGCCGAUUAUCCGAUGUUUUUAUUCAAAUGGAAUGAAACUGCUGAUUUAUAUAAAUAUUUUUUUGGAGAAAUUUGUAUGAUUCAGCCCUUUCACAGAUUUAGUGAAAACAUCCUUUAUCAGAGUUGAUGUUAAAUCCGUCACUUUUUAUUUAAAACCAUCCCUUCUUUAUCGCUGUUAAUUGGUUCUGGGGUUGGAAAAAAAAAAAAGAAAUUGAGACACAUGCGAUUCAGAAUUCUUAUUCACAGUACCACGAUUCUAAAUCAAAUCUCAAUUUGGUAAGAAUCAAUGUUAAACUCCGCACUUAUAAGUCAGCAGAUGGAUAAGCUUUUGUAUCCCGUAACCUGUUUUGAAACGGUUUCAUUACAAUUUCUAUACCAAAAGUGUAUCGAAAAACGGUUUGAAAUGAGAAUACACCAAGAAUUGGAACCAAAUCUAGAGUUCCGAAUCUUUCCUGUGAUUGUAGACUACAAUGGAAUCGUCUGCAAUGCUGUUUAGUGCAGUUUUAAUAAAAAAAUAAUAGUAAAAAAAAAAUAUAUAUAUAUAAUGAGAAUCAGCACCUCCAAGUCCGAGUCCAUGGUUCUCGCCCGGAAAAGGGUGGAGUGCCAUCUCCGGGUUGGGGAGGAGACCCUGCCCCAAGUGGAGGAGUUCAAGUACCUAGGAGUCUUGUUCACGAGUGAGGGAAGAGUGGAUCGUGAGAUCGACAGGCGGAUCGGUGCGGCGUCUUCAGUAAUGCGGACGUUGUACCGAUCCGUUGUGGUGAAGAAGGAGCUGAGCCGGAAGGCAAAGCUCUCAAUUUACCGGUCGAUCUACGUUCCCAUCCUCACCUAUGGUCAUGAGCUUUGAGUCAUGACCGAAAGGAUAAGAUCACGGGUACAAGCGGCCAAAAUGAGUUUCCUCCGCCGUGUGGCGGGGCUCUCCCUUAGAGAUAGGGUGAGAAGCUCUGCCAUCCGGGAGGAGCUUAAAGUAAAGCCGCUGCUCCUUCACAUCGAGAGGAGCCAGAUGAGGUGGUUCGGGCAUCUGGUCAGGAUGCCACCCGAACGCCUCCCUAGGGAGGUGUUUAGGGCACGUCCAACCGGUAGGAGGCCACGGGGAAGACCCAGGACACGUUGGGAAGACUAUGUCUCCCGGCUGGCCUGGGAACGCCUCGGGAUCCCCCGGGAAGAGCUAGACGUAGUGGCUGGGGAGAGGGAAGUCUGGGUUUCCCUGCUUAGGCUGUUGCCCCCGCGACCCGACCUCGGAUAAGCGGAAGAUGAUGGAUGGAUGGAUAUAUAUAUAUAUAGAUUUAUAUACUAUACUCAAUGUUUCUGUGGUUUAUCCGUUAUACAGUGCUCAAUACCGGGGUAGAGCAGAAUAUACUGUACGUUAGGUCAGGAAAAAACAAGAGGCUUUAUCAUCCCGACAAGCCUGUUUCGCAGGUUUCCCUUUGUAUAAAAUCUCCUGACGCGCAGGGAAACCUGCGAAAGGGAUGAUAUAGCCUCGUGUUUUUUCCUGACCUUAUUGAAAAUAUAAUUAAUACAUAUAUAUAUAUAUAUAUAUAUAUAUAUAUAUAUACAUGUUCAUAGUUAGAGCAAGAAAAAAUGUUUACGGCCUUCCAGGCAAAGUUUUAAUGUCAUGAAAGCCCUCUAGACAUGAAAUAACACCCCUUUAGUCACGUUUACACUGUUUAAUCUAAGGUUGCCUGGGGCUGAGCCAAUCAGUGGCCACACAACUAAACAUCACACUCUAAUUGCUUUGUUCUCUUCUUGUGGCCAAUACUACUGUAGUAUUGAUAUUUUAAGGUCAUUUAGCCACUUUUAAGCUUAGACAAUGCCUGAUUUGGGCCAAACAUGUAGAACAUGCUUACAAAACCAUCUGCAGAGCUGCAAACUUGUAAGCGUGAUACGGCGAAGGAUUGUACUACGAAAUGUGUCUCUUGAGCGUCGUUCUGCAAGUUCGCCUGCACAGGCUUCAACCUUAAGUGCGUGCAUGCUUCAACUCUUCUAUUUUCAGCCGUCCAAACCAAUCUCCUCCAGUUAAACAGCUGCACCGCAUGUCCCACAAACCCCCUCCUUAACCGACCCCGCCCACACCGCCCCCUGUCCCGACCGGCGCCCCUUCCAAACCUCAGCAUCCUGCAUGCGCCCUCCAAAAACACAUGACCCUAAAUUACGUCUGCCGACCCUUUUCCCCCCUACUUUGCCAUAAGAUGAGUUCAAAACAGCUCGAAUUCAUCUGAUAUAUGCCCUAAAACUUUACGCAGCAGAGGACGCGGCCUUUAAGGACAUAUGUUGCAUCCGAAAAGUAUCUAUUGAUUGAUUACUUGAAACUUUUAUUAGUAGAUUGCACAGUACAGUACAUAUUCCGCACAAUUGACACCCGAAUAAGUUGUUCAACUUGUUUAAGUUGAUUGGCAACAGUAAAUUGGCCCUAGUGUGUGAAUGUGAGUGUGAAUGUUGUCUGUCUAUCUGUGUUGGCCAUGCGAUGAGAUGGCGACUUUUCCAGGGUGUAAACCGCCUUCCGCCCGAUUUUAGGUGAGAUAGGCGCCAGCGCCCCCCGUGACCCUAAUAGGGAAAAAGCAGUAGGAAAUGGAUGGAUGGAACUUUUUUACGUCAGGGUCCACGUUAAUCAAUUCAUGGUAUUCACAGUGCUUCACUUUUACCCUAUUUUGUUAUGUUAAAACAGUGGUCCCCAACCACCGGGCUGCAGAAGAAUGUUUUAUUCAUUUUUAUUUA
Nerophis ophidion (straightnose pipefish) is the source of this 4248-nucleotide long non-coding RNA. RefSeq lists it as uncharacterized. The transcript has 3 exons. Lineage: Eukaryota; Metazoa; Chordata; Actinopteri; Syngnathiformes; Syngnathidae. The record is from RefSeq and is a predicted model, not a curated record.